AACGAACGCUGGCGGCAUGCCUAACACAUGCAAGUCGAACGAAACGUUCGUGUCUUUUGGCGCACGGGUGCGUACGGCGUGGGAACCAGCACUUAGGUUCGGAAUAACUCCCCGAAAGGGGUGUUAAUACCGGAUAAGGUCUUCGGACCAAAGAGUUAUGGCUGUUGGAUGGGCCCGGGUUGGAUUAGGUAGUUGGUAGGGUAAAAGCAGACCAAGGCGACGAUCCAUAGCUGGUCGGAGAGGAUGCUCAGCCGCACUGGGACUGAGACACGGCCCAGAAUCCUACGGAAGGCAGCAGAGGGGAAUAUUGGACGAUGGGCGAAGGCCUGAUACAGCAAUGCCGCGUGAGUGAUGAAGGCCUUAGGGUUGUAAAGCUCUUUUUCACGGGAUGAUAGUGACAGUACCGGGAGAAUAAGCUCCGGCUAACUCCGUG
RNAcentral lists this ribosomal RNA (433 nucleotides) under uncultured bacterium. Its description in RNAcentral is "partial 16S ribosomal RNA". It matches the Rfam family "Bacterial small subunit ribosomal RNA", at positions 29 to 507 of the family's 1533-position model. The record is from RNAcentral.